UACGGAGGGGGCCAGCGUUGUUCGGAAUCAUUGGGCGUAAAGGGCGCCUAGGUGGCCAGGCAAGUCGAAUGUGAAAGCCCCCGGCUCAACCGGGGAAUUGCAUCCGAGACUGCCUAGCUCGAGUCCUGGAGAGGGUAGCGGAAUUCCCAGUGUAGCGGUGAAAUGCGUAGAUACUGGGAGGAACACCGGUGGCGAAGGCGGCUACCUGGACAGGUACUGACACUGACGCGCGAAAGCGUGGGGAGCAAACAGG
RNAcentral lists this ribosomal RNA (253 nucleotides) under uncultured bacterium. Its description in RNAcentral is "partial 16S ribosomal RNA". It matches the Rfam family "Bacterial small subunit ribosomal RNA", at positions 524 to 776 of the family's 1533-position model. The record is from RNAcentral.